AUGUGUGAGACCAUAAACGGAUGCAACAUUAUUAUGAACUACUCGUGUUCCGGAGAAAAAUUUCAAGCAUACCAGCACGUGUUACAAAAAUUUGCUAACUGGUUAUAAAAGUAGUAAUAAAUAAGCGGUGAAUCAGCGCAAGUCCUAAGGGUGGUAAUGGGGUUAGACUGAAGGGAUUCGAUCGCUCUAUAGAUACGGAUCUUUCAAGGGUUAGGAUUUACGCUAACAGUCAAUUAUACGGAUAGCAGCUAUCGAUUCUCGCGUCUAUCACAAAGAGGAUCUACGCUGUGGUAUAGAAGCUUAAAAAAUAUAUAUAUAUAUAUAUAAAAUAAUAAUAAAAUCAGUCCGAGUCGAUUAGUGAUCGGUAAAACUCGAAGCAGCAGGCACGCCGGCGAAAAGUAUAACAGCGGAGAACAAUUCGUCAUCGAGAUACUCUGAAGCCCAGUAACUAGCAUCAACAACACGACGCUCCCGUAUUAGAUGCCAAGUCUCGUAAAAUCACCUACAGCGCAUACGGACUGUAUACAUGGCAAUGAAGAAACGUACCACGUGGUCGAAACUCGCAACGAGCGUUCUCCGCCUCAUCUUCGCGCGACGAUAAAUAAGCACGGAUUCAGGCUUCAAGCCGUUUAGCGCAGCGGAUUGGGCUAAGGGAUGUUGGACAUACGUUACAUUAGUUAGAGCAUGUUCAGAUGGGAUAUAUGCUGUAUGAUGCAAAGCCAAAAAAAUGAAAAAAAUUAUAAAGGCAAUAAAUAGCAAUAACGUGCUGUUCGGUGUGAGCAUGAUCUAUAUUGUAUGAAGACGGAGCCGACAGAUAUUUCAGAUCCAUGAAAAUAAUUGAAAGUGACGUAUGUGUUUGAAUCAAAGAAAAAUUCAUUGUCCGUUACGUAUACAUUCGCUCUUCGUUCGCUCGUGUGUAAAUCUUCGUGUACGGACGAUUUAUCGAUCUCUACCAAAAUCGACUCGAUUGAACUGACUCGAUUAUCUUCAAUCGCAAGUGAUUUUGUCCAGUUUCAUUUUCGAUUAUCCCGCUCGUUAUGUAAUCGCUGCGUAUAAAAUAUACUUUCCCGAAUUUUCAA
Molecule: long non-coding RNA, 1079 nt
Organism: Cephus cinctus (wheat stem sawfly)
Lineage: Eukaryota; Metazoa; Arthropoda; Insecta; Hymenoptera; Cephidae
Exons: 4
Source: RefSeq, a predicted model, not a curated record